This is a long non-coding RNA of Etheostoma cragini (Arkansas darter), 139 nucleotides long. RefSeq lists it as uncharacterized. The record is from RefSeq and is a predicted model, not a curated record. The transcript is spliced from 3 exons. Lineage: Eukaryota; Metazoa; Chordata; Actinopteri; Perciformes; Percidae.
AAAAAUGACAAAACAUGCUGAAAAAUGAGGAUCAGAGUUUCCCAAAAGCCCCGAGACGACGUCCUCAAAUGUCUUGUUUUGUCCAAAAAUAUUCAGGUCACUGUCACAGAGGAGAGAAGAAACUAGAACAAUAUUCAGA